CCUACGGGUGGCAGCAGUGAGGAAUAUUGGUCAAUGGACGAGAGUCUGAACCAGCCAAGUAGCGUGAAGGAUGACUGCCCUAUGGGUUGUAAACUUCUUUUAUAUGGGAAUAAAAUGUUCCACGUGUGGGAUUUUGUAUGUACCAUAUGAAUAAGGAUCGGCUAACUCCGUGCCAGCAGCCGCGGUAAUACGGAGGAUCCGAGCGUUAUCCGGAUUUAUUGGGUUUAAAGGGAGCGUAGGUGGGUUGUUAAGUAAGUUGUGAAAGUUUGCGGCUCAACCGUAAAAUUGCAGUUGAAACUGGCAGUCUUGAGUACAGUAGAGGUGGGCGGAAUUCGUGGUGUAGCGGUGAAAUGCUUAGAUAUCACGAAGAACUCCGAUUGCGAAGGCAGCUCACUGGACUGCAACUGACACUGAGGAGCGAAAGCGUGGGUAGCAAACAGGAUUAGAUACCCCUGUAGUC
RNAcentral lists this ribosomal RNA (460 nucleotides) under uncultured bacterium. RNAcentral describes it as "partial 16S ribosomal RNA". It matches the Rfam family "Bacterial small subunit ribosomal RNA", at positions 338 to 795 of the family's 1533-position model. The record is from RNAcentral.